CCAGCUCUCUUUGCCUUUUGGCUUAGAUCAAGUGUAGUAUCUGUUCUUUUCAGUUUAAUCUCUGAAAUUGUUCUAAGGAACAAAACAUUGAUUAAUCUCAUUUUUGGAUCUCGCUGGUCAAAUCCCUCUGUGCUUGCGCAAUGGAUUUCUGGCACCGUGUCCGAGGCCUUACACUGUCGCCUUGUGAUGCGAAUCACC
Molecule: small nuclear RNA, 198 nt
Filed under: Endocarpon pusillum Z07020
Lineage: Eukaryota; Fungi; Ascomycota; Eurotiomycetes; Verrucariales; Verrucariaceae
Description: U2 spliceosomal RNA
Rfam family: U2 spliceosomal RNA
About the family: U2 is a small nuclear RNA (snRNA) component of the spliceosome (involved in pre-mRNA splicing). Complementary binding between U2 snRNA (in an area lying towards the 5' end but 3' to hairpin I) and the branchpoint sequence (BPS) of the intron results the bulging out of an unpaired adenosine, on the BPS, which initiates a nucleophilic attack at the intronic 5' splice site, thus starting the first of two transesterification reactions that mediate splicing.
Source: Rfam by way of RNAcentral